CAAUCAAGUGUCUUAAGGGCAAUUAGUGGAUGCCUUGGCAUGCACAGGCGAUGAAGGACGUGAUACGCUGCGAUAAGCGUCGGGGAGGUGCGAAUACCCUUUGAUCCGACGAUUUCCGAAUGGGGAAACCCACCUAAAAUACUUGGAAAAUCAGAGUGGCAGGCGACUGCUGCUGUGGUUUCCAAGUAUUUAUUAUAGGUAACUUACCCUGAAUAUAUAGGGGUAAAGUGGCGAACGCGGGGAACUGAAACAUCUAAGUACCCGUAGGAAAGGACAUCAACCGAGACUCCGGAAGUAGUGGCG
Molecule: ribosomal RNA, 303 nt
Filed under: Salmonella enterica subsp. enterica serovar Typhimurium
Lineage: Bacteria; Pseudomonadati; Pseudomonadota; Gammaproteobacteria; Enterobacterales; Enterobacteriaceae
Description: partial 23S ribosomal RNA
Rfam family: Bacterial large subunit ribosomal RNA
Source: RNAcentral